Molecule: ribosomal RNA, 499 nt
Filed under: uncultured Lachnospiraceae bacterium
Lineage: Bacteria; Bacillati; Bacillota; Clostridia; Lachnospirales; Lachnospiraceae
Description: partial 16S ribosomal RNA
Source: RNAcentral
CACGUAGUUAGCCGGGGCUUCUUACUCAGGUACCGUCAUCUUCUUCCCUGCUGAUAGAGCUUUACAUACCGAAAUACUUCUUCACUCACGCGGCGUUGCUGCAUCAGGGUUUCCCCCAUUGUGCAAUAUUCCCCACUGCUGCCUCCCGUAGGAGUUUGGGCCGUGUCUCAGUCCCAAUGUGGCCAGUCACCCUCUCAGGUCGGCUACUGAUCGUCGCCUUGGUGGGCCGUUACCCCGCCAACCAGCUAAUCAGACGCGGGUCCAUCUCAUACCACCGGAGUUUUUCACACCGGAACAUGUGUCCCUGUGCGCUUAUGCGGUAUUAGCAGUCAUUUCUAACUGUUAUCCCCCUGUAUGAGGCAGGUUACCCACGCGUUACUCACCGUCCGCCACUCAGUCAAUCCGGAUUCCAUCCGAAAACUUCCUCUCGAUCGCUUCGUUCGACUUGCAUGUGUUAAGCACGCCGCCAGCGUUCAUCCUGAGCCAGGAUCAAACUCUC